This is a long non-coding RNA of Phycodurus eques (leafy seadragon), 333 nucleotides long. RefSeq lists it as uncharacterized. The record is from RefSeq and is a predicted model, not a curated record. NCBI's taxonomy places the organism in Eukaryota, Metazoa, Chordata, Actinopteri, Syngnathiformes, Syngnathidae. The transcript has 3 exons.
CAGGCUCAGGAGGUGGUGGAGGAGGAGGUUCUUUGAUCACCUGGAAGAGCAGCACAAAUAUAACAUGUUCAUAAGAGUGCAGCAGAGAGGCCAGAACCACCACAUGAGCAGCAGGGCCAGUAGGAGAAACAACACCAGCAAGGGUGGAAAAACAAUUCUGCGAAAUCCUAGUGACCUCUGGUGACCCGUUUGCAGUGAGUUCCUAAAAACAUAUGGAUGAAAGGCACGCUUUUGGCAACCCCCACCCCAAGCCGCCCACUUGUACUGUACUGACAGAACCAGGUGAGUGUGAAAGAGGUCUGGCAGAUGGAAAACAGGCCGCACAACUGAUAA